UUAAGUCCCAUAACGAGCGCAACCCUUACUGUUAGUUGCCAGCGGGUCAAGCCGGGAACUCUAACGGGACUGCCACCGUAAGGUGAGAGGAAGGUGGGGAUGACGUCAAAUCAGCACGGCCCUUAUGUCCAGGGCUACACACGUGUUACAAUGGUCGGUACAAAGGGCAGCUACACCGCGAGGUGAUGCUAAUCUCUAAAGCCGGUCUCAGUUCGGAUCGAAGUCUGCAACCCGACUUCGUGAAGUUGGAUUCGCUAGUAAUCGCGCAUCAGCCAUGGCGCGGUGAGUACGUUCCCGGGCCUU
Molecule: ribosomal RNA, 303 nt
Filed under: uncultured Sphingobacteriales bacterium
Lineage: Bacteria; Pseudomonadati; Bacteroidota; Sphingobacteriia; Sphingobacteriales
Description: bacterial SSU rRNA
Rfam family: Bacterial small subunit ribosomal RNA
Source: RNAcentral